RNAcentral lists this small RNA (1146 nucleotides) under Pan troglodytes (chimpanzee). RNAcentral describes it as "retained intron". The record is from RNAcentral. Lineage: Eukaryota; Metazoa; Chordata; Mammalia; Primates; Hominidae.
GUUUUGCAGCCCUGGGCAGCUCGGCAGUCCAGCCCGCCCGGGUCAUGGUGGUGGGCCGCGGGCUGCUCGGCCGCCGCAGCCUCGCUGCGCUGGGAGCCGCCUGCGCCCGCCGAGGCCUCGGUCCAGCCCUGCUGGGAGUUUUCUGCCACACAGAUUUGCGGAAGAACCUGACCGUGGACGAGGGCACCAUGAGGGUGGAGGUGCUGCCUGCCCUGACCGACAACUACAUGUACCUGGUCAUUGAUGAUGAGACCAAGGAGGCUGCCAUUGUGGAUCCGGUGCAGCCCCAGAAGGUCGUGGACGCGGCGAGAAAGCACGGGGUGAAACUGACCACAGUGCUCACCACCCACCACCACUGGUAAGUGCCGCGUCUCACCUGGGGGUGUGGGACCUGGCUCACUUCUCGCCCCGGUGGGUUUAGGGACAUCAAGGCCUGUCUCCCCCCACAGCUCUGUCUGCUUUGUGAGGACAGGCCCCCAGCAGACUUCUGAGAAAGACCCGGGACUCACCGUAGCCCCCAAGGGGCAAGUCUGGUGCUCAGUGACUCUGAGGCCCCGAGGGUGAGGGGAGAAGGCUACAGCCUUACCCUCAGGCCCCACCCCCCGGCUCUCUCCUGGGCCAUGCGGGCUUGUGCCCUGGCACGUUGGCCUCAAUGUUGGGGAGGAAAUGAGUCUACAGGUGAGUGGUUUUUUUUAAAAAAAAAAAAAAAAAAAAAAAAAAAAACAAGCAGCCAGCCGGGCACAGUGGCUCAUGCCUAUAAUCCCAGCACUUUGGGAGGCUGAGGUAGUUGGGUCACUUGAGGUCAGGACCAGCCUGGCCAACACAGUGAAACCCAGUCUCUACCGAAAAUACAAAAAUUAACUGGGCGUGGUGGUGGGCGCCUGUAAUCUCAGCUACUCGGGAGGCUGAAGCAGGAGAAUCACUUGAACCCGGGAGGCGGAGGUUGCCGUGAGCCAAGAUCGUGGCAUUGCACUCCAGCCUGGGUGACAGAGCGAGACUCCGUCUCAAAAAAAACAAAGACAAGCAGCCAUAUCUGGAGAGGUUGGGUUUUUAAAAAUCCUUGAAAAUGGAUGAAUAAAAUGCCCUCUAUGGGUUCUAGGGCUGGCAUUGCCUGCUCAAGGCCGUUGUUCGGCUUUUAGAAAUUUU